RNAcentral lists this small nuclear RNA (83 nucleotides) under Panthera tigris altaica (Amur tiger). Lineage: Eukaryota; Metazoa; Chordata; Mammalia; Carnivora; Felidae. The record is from RNAcentral.
UUUUCAUUGGAACGAUACAGAGAAGAUUAGCAUGGCCCCUGUGCAAGGAUGACAUGCAAAUUCAUGAAGUGUUCCAUAGUAAA